AUCGAAACACCACUUCCCACAUGAUCACUAAAGUUAAGCAAUGUCGAGCUUGGUCAGUACCUAGAUAGGUGACCACUUGGGAAUGUUAGGUGCUGUAAG
Acanthosepion pharaonis is the source of this 99-nucleotide non-coding RNA. Lineage: Eukaryota; Metazoa; Mollusca; Cephalopoda; Sepiida; Sepiidae. The record is from the annotation of a GenBank genome assembly.